RNAcentral lists this microRNA (22 nucleotides) under Columba livia (rock pigeon). Its description in RNAcentral is "Cli-Mir-1559_3p* (star (passenger))". Lineage: Eukaryota; Metazoa; Chordata; Aves; Columbiformes; Columbidae. The record is from RNAcentral.
AGUUCCAUGUAUGCAUCGAGCA